RNAcentral lists this ribosomal RNA (737 nucleotides) under marine metagenome. RNAcentral describes it as "bacterial SSU rRNA". It matches the Rfam family "Bacterial small subunit ribosomal RNA", at positions 766 to 1520 of the family's 1533-position model. The record is from RNAcentral.
UAGCAAACCGGAUUAGAUACCCGGGUAGUCCACGCUGUAAACGAUGAAUACUGGGUCUUCGGGGAAUCGACCCCUUGUGGACCGAAGCUAACGCGUUAAGUAUUCCGCCUGGGGAGUACGGUCGCAAGACUAAAACUCAAAGGAAUUGACGGGGGCCCGCACAAGCAGCGGAGCGUGUGGUUUAAUUCGAUGGUAAACGAAGAACCUUACCUAGGUUUGACAUAUAAGUAGUACUGACCCGAAAGGUGAUGGACCCGCAAGGGAGCUUAUACAGGUGCUGCAUGGUUGUCGUCAGCUCGUGCCGUGAGGUGUUGGGUUAAGUCCCGCAACGAGCGCAACCCUCGUGGAUAGUUGUUUUCUUUAUCCAGACUGCUUUUACAAGAGGAAGGUGGGGAUGACGUCAAAUCAUCAUGGCUCUUACACCUAGGGCUACACACACGCUACAAUGGACAGUACAGACGGUUGCUAAGUCGCAAGAUGGAGCCAAUCCGAUAAAGCUGUCCCCAAUUGGGAUUGUAGGCUGAAACUCGCCUGCAUGAACCUGGAGUUGCUAGUAACCGCAGAUCAGAAUGCUGCGGUGAAUACGUUCCCGGGCCUUGUACACACCGCCCGUCACGUCAUGGAAGUUUGAAACACUUGAAGUCGCUGGGCUUACCUUUUAGGAGGCAGGCGCCGAGAGUGGGGCAAAUGACUGGGACGAAGUCGUAACAAGGUAGCUGUACCGGAAGGUGCGGCUG